This 244-nucleotide ribosomal RNA is filed under the name uncultured Actinomycetales bacterium. Its description in RNAcentral is "partial 16S ribosomal RNA". It matches the Rfam family "Bacterial small subunit ribosomal RNA", at positions 89 to 334 of the family's 1533-position model. Lineage: Bacteria; Bacillati; Actinomycetota; Actinomycetes; Actinomycetales. The record is from RNAcentral.
ACUCGAGUGGCGAACGGGUGAGUAACACGUGAGUAACCUGCCCUUGACUUUGGGAUAACUUCAGGAAACUGGGGCUAAUACCGGAUAGGAGCUCCUGCUGCAUGGUGGGGGUUGGAAAGUUUCGGCGGUUGGGGAUGGACUCGCGGCUUAUCAGCUUGUUGGUGGGGUAAUGGCCUACCAAGGCGGCGACGGGUAGCCGGCCUGAGAGGGUGUACGGCCACAUUGGGACUGAGAUACGGCCCAG